GACGAACGCUGGCGGCGUGCUUAACACAUGCAAGUCGAACGGAAAGGCACUGCUUUUGUGGGGUGAUCGAGUGGCGAACGGGUGAGGAACACGUGAGUAACCUGCUCUUGACUUUGGGAUGACUUCAGGAAACUGGGGCUACUACAGGAUAGGAGCUCCUGUUGGAGGGUGGGGGUUGGAACGUUGAGGCGGGUGCGGUUGGACGCGCGGCUGACGAGUUUGUUGGUGGGGGAGUGGCUUACCAAGGCUUUGACGGGUCGCCGGCCGGAGAGGGUGACCGGCCACAUUGGGACUGAGAGACGGCCCAGACGCCUACGGGAGGCAGCAGUGGGGAAUAUGACACAAUCGGCGGGAGCCUGAGGCAGCGACGCCGCGUGCGGGAUGACGGCCUGCUGGGUGUAAACCGCUUUCGCCUGUGACGAAGCGUGAGUGACGGUAAUCGGUAAAGAAGCACCGGCUAACUACGUG
Molecule: ribosomal RNA, 468 nt
Filed under: uncultured bacterium
Lineage: Bacteria
Description: partial 16S ribosomal RNA
Rfam family: Bacterial small subunit ribosomal RNA
Source: RNAcentral